RNAcentral lists this long non-coding RNA (290 nucleotides) under Ananas comosus (pineapple). RNAcentral's name for it is "long non-coding RNA (ACOM_LNC007151)". The record is from RNAcentral. Lineage: Eukaryota; Viridiplantae; Streptophyta; Magnoliopsida; Poales; Bromeliaceae.
CUCAAGUAUGUGCGAAUGAGCACAAUGGCAUGCAAGCGAAUAAGUCCGUCUCAGGUCCCAGUGGUUCAUCACUGUUUCAUCGGAUCUAAAACCCGGAAUACAGCACAUGUCCCAAAGGCCUGCCUCUAUGUCAUCGUGUCUAAAACACGGAAUAUAGUAACUGUCUUAAUGGCCUAUCUCUAGGUCAUCAUGUCUAAAAUAUGGAAUAAUAGUAACUGUCUCAAUGGCCUAUCUCUAUGUCAUCAUGUCUAAAACAUGGAAUAUAGUAGAUUUCCAGUGGCCUAUCAUCA